ACUCGUAGGUGGUUGAUCGCGUCGGAAGUGUAAUCUUGGGGCUUAACCCUGAGCGUGCUUUCGAUACGGGUUGACUUGAGGAAGGUAGGGGAGAAUGGAAUUCCUGGUGGAGCGGUGGAAUGCGCAGAUAUCAGGAGGAACACCAGUGGCGAAGGCGGUUCUCUGGGCCUUUCCUGACGCUGAGGAGCGAAAGCGUGGGGAGCGAACAGGCUUAGAUACCCUGGUAGUCCACGCUGUAAACGGUGGGUACUAGGUGUGGGGUCCAUUCCACGGGUUCCGUGCCGUAGCUAACGCUUUAAGUACCCCGCCUGGGGAGUACGGCCGCAAGGCUAAAACUCAAAGGAAUUGACGGGGCCCCGCACAAGCGGCGGAGCAUGCGGAUUAAUUCGAUGCAACGCGUAGAACCUUACCUGGGUUUGACAUGGAUCGGGAGUGCUCAGAGAUGGGUGUGCCUCUUUUGGGGUCGGUUCACAGGUGGUGCAUGGCUGUCGUCAGCUCGUGUCGUGAGAUGUUGGGUUAAGUCCCGCAACGAGCGCAACCCUUGUUCACUGUUGCCAGCACGUUAUGGUGGGGACUCAGUGGAGACCGCCGGGGUCAACUCGGAGGGAGGUGGGGAUGACGUCAAGUCAUCAUGCCCCUUAUGUCCAGGGCUUCACGCAUGCUACAAUGGCUGGUACAGAGAGUGGCGAGCCUGUGAGGGUGAGCGAAUCUCGGAAAGCCGGUCUCAGUUCGGAUUGGGGUCUGCAACUCGACCUCAUGAAGUCGGAGUCGCUAGUAAUCGCAGAUCAGCAACGCUGCGGUGAGUACGUUCCCGGGGCUUGCACUCACCGCCCGUC
Molecule: ribosomal RNA, 836 nt
Filed under: uncultured bacterium
Lineage: Bacteria
Description: bacterial SSU rRNA
Rfam family: Bacterial small subunit ribosomal RNA
Source: RNAcentral